GCGAAAUUCGAUUCAUCGGAUUCGACACAUUUCGAUUCCCACCACUAUCAAGCAAACUUUUGAGCUUGCCCUGUGUGGACACUGUACUCUGAGACAAUAUCACAAACAUAUAUCUUCACCUGAGUGCAUAACAUUAGAAACAAAAAAAGUUUUUUUCAUGACGACUCGAUACACUGCUAAACUAAUUCAAAAUUAUUUUCUUUCAGCUGUUUGGUGGAUUUAUCAGUUUUCUCUUCCCCAGAUUACCAGAUGGUCCACGGUCACAAGUUGCAAAGUGGCACGCAAUUUCUGGAAAAAUUAUCGUUUUGCUUGCAAUACUAACAGCAAUUAAUGGCGUCGCAACAUUUUACAGGUAUGUGCAUUAACACUGUUGCUCAAGUAUUUUGCACGAGUGUCAAAGUGGACGUUAUUAUUCUGAAC
Non-coding RNA from Paramuricea clavata, 420 nucleotides. NCBI's taxonomy places the organism in Eukaryota, Metazoa, Cnidaria, Anthozoa, Malacalcyonacea, Plexauridae. The record is from the annotation of a GenBank genome assembly.